AUAACUCGAUAAUCCACGUAUACCAAACCUUCUCUUGAUGUACAGCAUGUGUACUGCCGUUGCAAGCAUACCUUUAAAAGAGUAGUAUGCUACUAUGGUUAUACCCCAUAUACAUCAGGUCAAAGUGCAGCUAAUGAAAAGGUGAUGAUGGGUUACAACCCUAAAACGGACUAUAGACUAAGAAAUUAAAACCUCUUAAGAAAGUGGACUUGGCCGUAAUCAACUUUAAAAUAAAGAAAUAAAUUAUACCUAAGACAUGCACACAUCGCCCGUCACUCUACCCUAAAGGGUAGAUAAGUCGUAACAAAGUAGGUGUAAUGGAAAUUGCACCUGUCGAAGUAUAGCAUAUAAAAUGCUUUUUACUUACACUAAAAACAAAGUUACUAAACUUACUUCGCCCACAUAUAGAAAUCAUAUAAAAUAAAAAUGAUAGAAGCAACUAAAUAUACUAAUUUAAAUGAAGUACAGAAAUGGAAAUAAAAAUGAAAUAAAGUAAUUAUUAACAAAUAUACCUUGUGCAUUAUGGUUUUACAAGAAAAUUAUUAAACACAUACAUCCCGAAUUCUAAAUGAGUUGUUAAACUGCUGCUAUGAGCCCAUUAAUAACUGUAGAAAAAGUUUUAAAAGACAGUUUAACAGAGGCUACAUACCAUACGCAUAAGAAUAUAGCUGGUUUUCAACAAACAUUAUAUAUUAAAACAUAUAAUAAAAUUAUAGUGUAACAUUAUUGAGGACAAGCCCAAUAAUUCUAAGCAAUAAAUAACAAUAUCCAACUUAAGUUGUAGGCCUAAAAUCAGCCAAUAAAAAUACUUUAUCGUAGUAAGCAUGGACCUAUAUAUUUACAACAAAAUAUGCCAAAAAAAGUUGAAAUGGUGGGUAAACUAACCUAUACCACUUAUAAUAUGUAAAAAUAAGUAUUACACUCUUUACCAAUUAAUACCCAAGAAAUUAAACAAACAUUAAGGUAACAAUAAUUAAUUAAGGAACUCGGCAAAUAACUAUUUCGACUGUUUAACAAAAACAUUGUCUUAUGGACCUCAUGUAAGAUAGUACCUGCCCAG
Molecule: ribosomal RNA, 1060 nt
Filed under: Amynthas sp. SC201102-19
Lineage: Eukaryota; Metazoa; Annelida; Clitellata; Crassiclitellata; Megascolecidae
Description: partial 12S ribosomal RNA
Source: RNAcentral